AUGUCACAACCCCUGAAAGAAAAUGGAGGAUCAGAGGCAGCAAGUUUAAGAAUAGCAGAGCAAUAUAUUCAUACUUUCGGUAAAGUAGCGAAGGAGGGUACCACAAUGUUGCUUCCUAGCUCUGCAUCCAAUCCUGCUAACAUGAUGGCUCAAGCCCUUACUAUGUAUAAAAGCUUCAUUGGUAAUGUCCCCAGUAAUACGUACAGUAGGACCGGACCCCCUUCAGUAAAAAAAAGGAAGUUAUCCAUCUGA
This is a non-coding RNA of Vicia faba (fava bean), 252 nucleotides long. The record is from the annotation of a GenBank genome assembly. Lineage: Eukaryota; Viridiplantae; Streptophyta; Magnoliopsida; Fabales; Fabaceae.